AUACGAGUCAGGCACGGUUAAAUUCGAAUCAAAUUAGCCAAUUGAAUCAAUAAAUUAGUUCUCAAAUCCAUUUGAAUUUGAUAAAGAAACGAUCCAGUAUGAUCCGAUAUGACUCGUGAUUCAAUAUGACCGAUUAACCAAACUAAUUCAAUUAGUAAAAGAGAAGAGAAGGGGGAGGGAGAGGGGGAUGGAUCUGAAUCGGAAAGAAAGAUAAAAGUUUAAAUUGUCAACCUUGCAAGCAAUCUCCCAUGCUAUACUUGCCCUAAUUUUUACCAAGAACUAGGAUCCAAGACUGACACUGAUGAAUUACAACCCCAAAAUGACCGAAAUAGAAAUCAAAGCCAUCCACCGGUUCCAAAACAAUUUGAUAAACCGGGUAAGUAUACCAACAAUCCCAAACCUGUGGGAAAAAUAGCAUCCACUAAACACUCAAAACCAAAAGACUAUGAUGAUAGAAACCUCCAUCAGAACGGAAUAAGGAAACCAAGUCUAUGCUGAUAGCAAACUGCAUCAAAACGGACUAAGAUCCUUUCAUGUCUAUGCUGAUGAUGCUGGUUCAUCUUCUUUUUUUGCCUCUGCUUUUGCUUUUUCACCUUCAGCUUCACUGCGCUCCUUCGCUUCAACAGGUGCCUCUUCCUUUUCUUUCCCCUCGGUUUUACCAUCCACAACGCUCAACUUCUCAAGUAAUCCAGCAGCAUCUGCAGCCUCUUUACUUUCUUCUUUUUUACCUUGAGUUUCAGCCACCUCUUGGACCGUCUCCAUGAAGGUUUUGCAAUUCUCAACAGAAGCAAAUCUGAUACAGAAGAGCUCAUCCUUCAAUUCCCCAUCAGCAAAAUCAGCAGCAUGCCACACACAUGAUUUAUCAUUUCCAUGAUGCUCUUGGACAUUGAUUGAAGGCCCAACUAGAUGAUUAGCGCAGAUCUUGAGAGUCUUAGAUUGGCGCAUGACAAGGCGAACCUUGCCAGAUUCCUUGUGCUUCAGCAGCUUCACAUUUCCAACUCCUCUCUCCUUCCACUGAUUCCCUUCCUUAUCAAAUCUAUACAGCUUCGCUUUCAGAUCGAGGAUGGGAUCUUCCUCCUCCUCGCCGGUAGUAACAGCGACCUCUUCUAGCUUGACGAUGGGGGCAACCUGAGCUCCGGUGUCCUCAUCAUCGGCGGCUGGUGCGUUCGCUUCCUCGUCUCUGUCUUUGGUAUUGUGCUCUGGAUCGCUCGUAGUAGCAGUACUCGCCAUCCCUCGCUUUAUAUACCUUUCUCGCCGAAACUUGAAGAGAGAGAGAACUGAGACUGGGAGACUGGGAGGGUUAGGGAUUUUAUUGCUCAGAUAGCAACACUUAUUAACAAUGAUAAAGAAAAAGGCAGUGCUGCGUAGAUGGUGGACCCAACAUGCACAGAGCGUGACAG
RNAcentral lists this unclassified non-coding RNA (1400 nucleotides) under Hevea brasiliensis (rubber tree). The record is from RNAcentral. Lineage: Eukaryota; Viridiplantae; Streptophyta; Magnoliopsida; Malpighiales; Euphorbiaceae.